UACGGAGGGGGCGAGCGUUAUUCGGAAUUAUUGGGCGUAAAGGGCGUGCAGGCGGUCUGUUAAGUGCAGGGUGAAAGCUCCCGGCUCAACUGGGAGAGGUCCUUGCAUACUGGCGGACUUGAGGGGGGUAGAGGAAAGUGGAAUUCCCGGUGUAGUGGUGAUAUGCGUAGAUAUCGGGAGGAACACCUGUGGCGAAGGCGGCUUUCUGGGCCGUACCUGACGCUGAGACGCGAAAGCGUGGGGAGCGAACCGG
RNAcentral lists this ribosomal RNA (253 nucleotides) under uncultured bacterium. RNAcentral's name for it is "partial 16S ribosomal RNA". It matches the Rfam family "Bacterial small subunit ribosomal RNA", at positions 524 to 776 of the family's 1533-position model. The record is from RNAcentral.